GGCCGCAGUCUCCAUCGCGACAGGCUGGCCCCCGCCCCUCACCGGGGAGUUGCUGCUUCCGGGUCACCCGGCAACGUCUUCCGGUUCUGUUGGAGCUGGUUGCUACAGCAACCUGAAUGGCCCCUUUACACAAGAACCGGACGCUUCAAAUGUAAACAACCCUAAAAUUGGAAAUGAUCUCCAACUCCGGUCUGAAAGGUCUCCACUGUAAAAACAAAGUACCCCCUUUUUUAAAUAUAUAAAUACAUGGAGUACUGUGUGCAGUUCUGCUUUACAGUAAGGAUGUGAAACAGAAAUUGCUGGAGAAACUCAUCAGCAUCUGUGGAGAGAGAAAGCAGGUUCGAGUCCAGCGACUCCACUUCAGAAUUGAACAUCAGCGAGGAAAAUGUGUUAUUGCCAAGUUAAUGCUGCCAGGUCUUCAUUCCCUGAGUCUUUGGGGAGGCCUAAUGCUAUUAUUGCUGGACUGUUGAUCCGGAGACCUAGGGCCUGCAGCUGGAAUUCAAUGAUCAGCCAGUGCAGAUAGGAUCAGAGCCCAUGGACUAUUUAACAGAGGGUAACUCUCAGUCUGAAAUUAACAGCUUCCUGAUCAAACUGUCUAAUACAAACUUCUGAACUGUGGACAAGGAGGGUGUUAUUCAGCCCAUCGUAUCCACAUUAACAGCUUCAAACUGCUGUCCAAUUAGUUCAAAUCCUGACCCAAAGCAUUAAUUCUACUUUGCUUCUCCUCAGAUAUGGCCAGACUUUUCUCCAGCAAUUUCUGUUUUUGUUUCUAAUUUCCAGCAUCAACCGUUCUUUGGGUUUUUUAAAAAUUUCCAAUCCAGUUUCCCUUAAAGCACUGCCAUUUACUUCCUUUGAUGGAUAUCUAUCCAAUUACCACUUGUUCCUUCAUUACUAGUGAACUUGACGAAUCCCAGCUUCCAUUCUGUGCAGAAUUGCAGAUCAUUUGAAACUCUGCUGCCUGUGUCCUAAAUUUCACCAAGUCCUGCACCCAAUUAGAUUGAUUCUUGCAGAUCCACAUUGGCCUCUGGUCAAGAAACACUCAAUUUCUUACCCUUCUUUGCAAAUCCCUCAGACCUUCCUAUUUUUGUGAUCUCCUCCAGCCCCACAACCUUCCAAGGUAUCUACCCUCCUCUAUUUCUGACCUGUUAACCACCCCUGAUUUUAACCAUCUCACCAUCGCUGUUGUGCCAUAGUUGAUUGAGUGCCAGGCUCUGGAAUUCCCUCACCCUCUUUUCCUUCCUUUACUACACAUUAAAAACCUUCCCACUUGACCAGGCCUUUGGUCAUUUGCCCUGUAUGUGGUUCAGAGUCUAACUUUGCUUGAUAUUGCUCCCAUGAGGAGCAUUGAAGGUAUGUGGUUAUUGAAGAUUUCUAUUGAAAUUGCUUCCAUGAAUUAUAAAAGGAUAUUGGAGGUACUGCAGAAGCCAGUGAAUGGAUGAAGACGACCUUUGUUCUAUCUUAAAUGGCACAAGGGAAGAGAGAAAUGUACAGUAGUCCAGAAGAAGUUAUAUUGGACUCAAAAUGUUGACUCCGUUUCUCUCUCCACUGUUGCCGCCAGCUUCCACUGUAGUAUUCAAAUAGUGAGUGGCUUCUGUUGGUUCUGAAUAGAAAAUGAAAUAUGAAUGUCAGAAACUGUGCCAUGAACAGGUUUGCAAGCAUUCUUAAAGAGAUAACCACUACUUCCACACUGAAGAAGCUGGAAUUCAGGAUCUGUACAUUGACCUGUAAGAGCAUAUGAAAUAGGUACAGGAGUAGGACUUUUGGCCCCUUGAGUCUGCUCCACCAUUCAAUAAAAUCAUGGCUGAUCCAACGUUCCUCACAUCCACUCUGCUGCCCCUUCUCUGUAACUCUUGAUUCCCCAGCCGAUCAAGAAUCUCUCUAUCUCAGCCCUAAAUAUGCACAAGGACUCUGUCCCCAUAGUUCCCUCUAGUGAGCACUUCCAAAGACUCACAACCCUCUGAAUGAAGAAAUUUCUCCUCAUCUCAAUCUUAAUUUGCUGCCCCCUCUAUUCUGAGACUAGUCCUCUGAUCCUAAACUCUUCCAUGAGGUGAAGCAUCCACUCAAUAUUUACCCUGUCAAACCCCUUAAAAAUCCUAGCUGAUUCAAUGAGAUCACAUCUCAUUCUUCCAUACUCCAGUGAGUAAAGUCCCAAUCUGUUUUGCUUUUGCUCAUGAAAAAAUCCCUCCAUAUCAAGGAUCUUCUAAAUGAACCUUCUCUGAACUACCUUCAAUGAAACAAUAUCUUUUCUUAAAACUGCCUCGAGACCCCAGAUAUGGUCUCACCAGCACCUUGUAUAGUUACAGCAAGACUUCACUACCCUUAUAUUUGAACCCCCUUGAAAUAAGGGCUAACAUUCCAUUAGCCUUCCUGAUUACUUGCUGCACCUAUGUGCUAGCUUUCUAUGUUUUGUGCUCAAGUACUUUCAAGUCCCUUUGUGUUCCAGCUUUCUGCCACUCUUUUUUCCCCAUUUAAAAGUAUUCUGUUCGCUCUUCCGAUUGAAGCAACUUCCCAUUGGACCCAAAAAAGAUUCACGUAAAACAAUGUGACAGCGUACGGCCAGAAGGAUCUUCUGCCUCAGUCACGAGGUAGGAGUGUUAAUAUGUUGAGGGAGUUUGGCCCAGAGCUGUCAGGCUUCAAAUGAGGACUUUGGGUAAUUGUGUAGUGCCCAUUUAUAACACCAGAUUGUGGAGGAAAGAGUUAAGUAAAGUUUUCCACUUGUUUACAGCCUUAUCCCAUACUCCUUAAAAGUUGAAGCCAAAUGUCUGGUCAUUACCAUCAGAGAACAUGCCUCUUCAGGUUUACCAAAGUUAACUUGUAUUUGUUGCGUCUAUUCCCCAUAAAACAUGGAAAUAUUUAUAUCUGCAGUGCAGAGCAGCUGGAUUGUACAAACCAAUGACUCAUUGGUGGAAGGUGAGUUGUCCACUAUUACCAUGGCAACUGGUAUUGGAGCUGGGGUCGGGGGGGGGGGGUGCGAAUCAUCUUCAAACCAGAUUUCUGUUGUGUUUUUCAAACCGUGGCAGUUUUCUUUUCCUUUCCACGGAAAUACAUCUCAGUUCAGACAAGGUUGAGGGUUUGGCUGCAUUAACAUAACACUGCGUGUCAGCACUAUGCUGCUCUGUAAAUUGGUAUAACUAAGUGAAGACGGCCCACUGAAAGAAAGGCAGACCUCUCCAAAAGAUCUUCCUUGUCCUCAGGAUGUUCCCAAAUGCUUACAAAAAUGUGAUUGCUGUUGUAAUGAGUUAGAUUGCUUGAAUUCUCCGUCUUGUAAUUAACCCCUUUGCUUAAGAGGGCAAUCUUCACUCAACACUAGCCUCCACUCAAUAUUGAGACAGAUAAUCCACCUUCAAAAACAAGAGAAACCUCUGCUGGUUUCCUUUUCGUCUUGUUCCUCCUUUGAUUUCACUGGGUCACGCAUAAGGUGCUUGGAGCAGGGCAGGUAAGGUGACAUGGGCAGAGUUUUGUGGAGGCAGCAAAGCACUCAGCUGGUAAGAGGCUCACGUUGCCUCUUUUUGGGAAGAUACGACGUGUCUCUAAGGGCCUAUGGUUGGCUUUUCCCUUUGGAUGAGGAAUCCCCUCUGAUGGCUGCUACAAGGUCUGGCCACCACCUCAAACUUUACACAGAGGAGAGGCCAAGGCUCAGGUGAGUGAUGCCAGGAGGGUGCUCAUGGCUCGGGAGUACGGGUUUGCAGAGAAGGGGAGUCAGGUGCAAAGACACUCCCCAGCCUUCCUGAUGGUUCCUCAAUCCUUUGACUGAGGGAACUCCUUAUCCCCAGGACAUGCAAGGAAGCCCCUGAUACAUUUGCCCCUCCAUUAUGAAGCCCCUGCCCAUUGCUGGACUACUGGCAGUGGGUAAAGUCACAGAAUGGGCAUUGACCACUCCAGGGCCUCAAUGAGUAACAUCUUGCCUUUGGAAGGAAGCAGGAACAUUGGUGUUUUUAAAGAUAUAAGCAUCAUAGCACUUUCAGGAAUGCCCCUAUAGGGAACUGCCCAAUAGGAAAAAUAUCAGUAUUGAGCUGUGGAGGUAGCAGGCCGUACAAUUACCAGCUUUCCACCUGGUUAAAAAAAAGGGGCUGCCACCAAACACACCCCAGAGAAGGGCACAAGUGUUCUAGGUCCACCCAUCUUCCACUGCUUCAUCAAUGAUCUUUCCUCCAUCACCAGGUCAGAAAUGAGGAUGUUCACUGAUGGUUGCACGACAUUCAGUACCAUCUGUGACUCCUCAGAUACUGAAGCUGACCAUGUUCAAAUGUAACACAAUCUGGACAAUAUCCGGCUUGGGUUGAUAAGUAACAUUCAUGCCACGUAAAUGCCAGGCUAUGGCCAUCACUAAUAAGAGACAAUCUGACCACUGCCCCUUGAUAUUCAACUGUGUUACAAUCACUGAAUCCCCAACUAUUAACAUCCUGGAGGUUACCAUUGACUAGAAAUUCAACUGGACUUACCACAUAAUCACAGCAGCUACAACAGCAAUUCCGAGGCUAGGAAUACUCCCCACUUGCCUGGAUGAGUGCAGCUCCAAUAACACUCAAGAAGCUUGACAAAAGACAAAACAGCCCACUUGAUUGGCACUACAUCCAUAAACACCUAUUCCCUCUACCAUUGAUGCUCAAUUGCAGCAGUGUGUACCAUCUACAAGAUGUACUGCAGAAAUUCAAAAAAGAUCCCCAGAGAGCACUUUCCAAACCCAUGAUCACUUCUGCCGAGAAAGACCAAGACAAGGAGCACAAUCACCUUCAAGCUCCCCUCCAAGCCAUUCACAAUCCUGACUUGAAAAUAUAUUGUCUUUUUUUAACACUCACUGGGUCAAAAUCCUUGAAACUCCCUCCCUAAUGGCAUUGUCAGUCACCAGGCAGCUCAUGGACCACAACAGUUUAGGAAGGCAGCUCACCACCUCCUUUUCAAGGGCAACUAGGGAUGAGCAAUAAAUCCUGGCCCAGCCAGCGAUGCCCACAUCGCUCAAAUGAGUUAAAAAGAAAUUCUAUCCCACAGGUUGAUGUCAUGCCUUGGAAUUCAAUAAAUCUGAUCACUCCUGUUUCAGUACAUUGAAAAUUAUCAUGAAAUUUGGAAGUAUGGUAAAUCAAUCAAUUUUCAAAGUUGAGAAUGGAUCUGAGAAGGAGGUCAAAUCUUAAGAUUGAGUUAAUUUGCAUCUACCUAUCAGGCUGAUGCUGAUUGAAGACUAAACUACAAAGUUGAGUUGACAACGAACUAAGAAUGAUUGGCCUUGAGUAAGCUUGUCAGAAUAGGGUUGCAGUCUCUUAUCUUCAAGUAAAGGCAACAGGAAAAGGAAUUCAGGACCAUAAUCAGGUCAAUGUUUGAAAGCAUUUUAAUAAAGAUUGCAUCAAAAUAGGCCUGAAUUGGAAAAGUUCCAGUAUAUAAUUGGCUAAUCACACAGUGUGAAUUCCCUAAAUAUGAGGAGAUUAAUAGACUUGACUUCCUUUUUCUCCAAAUGAGACCUAGCUACACUAUUUCUCCCCCCAAAUGAGGCGAUAGACUCUGUUCCGCUAAAUGAGCAAAUUAAGGCGCAGAAUUUUCGUUUCAGGACAAGGGACAGAUGAUUAAUCCGCUUGCAGGAAAUGAUUUAAAGACUAUAAUGGAGCUCUAAUUCUUCAGCAUUUGAUUUCCACCAUGGUUGCCUGGUUUUUCAAUCCUCUAGAAAUUCAGCAACCACCCAGUGGCCCUGAAAUCCAUCAUUAUGAAGUGCUUUGAGAGGUUGGUAAUAGCACACAUCAGUUCCAGCCUCCCAGAUUGACUUGAUCCACGACAAUUCACCUACGUCACAAUAGAUCCACGGCAGACACCAUCUCCCCGGCCCUACACUCGUCCCUGGAACAUCUGCAUAAUAAGGACACCUAUAUCAGAUUAUUAUUUAUUGACUUCAGCUCCACCUUCAACACUAUAAUUCCGGCAAAAUUCAUUGCCAAAUUCCGAGAUGUAGAACUCUGCUCCCCACUCUGCAACACAAUCCUUGACUUCUUGACCCACAGACUGCAAUCAGAAAGGAUAGGCAACAACACCUCCUCCAUGAUAAUCCUCAACACCACAGCCCUGUAAGGCUGUGUAUUCAGCUCCUUACUAGACUCCUUAUACGCUUACAACUGUGUGGUGAAAUUCUUCUCUAAAUCUUUUAACAAGUUUAUUGGUGACACCACCACAGUGGGUUGGCUCUUAAACAACAAGACAAGUACAGAACGGAGAUAGACAGCUUAGUGGUAUGUUGUAAAGAUAACAAUCUCCCCCUCAAUGUCAGCAAAAUGAAGGAGCUGGUCAUUAAUUUCAUGAAGCUGAGUGGGUGGUAUGCUCCUGUCUGCAUCAAUGGUGUUGAGGUAGAGAUGGUCAAGAUUGUCAAGUUCCAGGGAGCGAUGAUCACCAACAGUCUGUCCUGGUCUACCCACAUCAAUGCUACAUCAAGAGAGCACUGCGAUGCCUCUACUUCCUCAGGAGGCUAAGGAAAUUCAGCAUGCCCACAAUGUCUCUUACCAAUUUCUAUAGAUGCACCAUUGAAAGCAGCCUAUCCAGAUGCAAAACAGUGUGGAAAGGCAACUGCUCUGCCCUUGACUGCAAGAGAUUACAGAGAGUUGUAAACACAGCCCAGUCCAUCAUGAAAACCAGCUGUCCAUCUAUGGAGUCCAUCUAUACUUCCCGUUGCCUUAGGAAGGCAACAAACAUCAUCAAAGACGCCUCCCACCCUGGGUUACACUCUCUCCCACCCUCUUCCAUUGGACAGAAGAUACAAAAGUUUGAAAACACAGCCCAACAACUGUUAUAAGACUUUUGAAUGGAUCUCUUAUCUAUUACAGUUGAUACCUCUCUGUGCUUUUGCUUUGGCUGUAACACUACAUUCUACAUUCUGUUCUAUUUCUCUGAUGUACUUGUGUAAGGUAUGAUUUGUCUAGAUUGCAAACAAAACAAAGCUUUGCACUGUAUGUCAGUAAUGUGACAAUACUAAAUAAAAUCAAUUCA
Molecule: long non-coding RNA, 6960 nt
Organism: Stegostoma tigrinum
Lineage: Eukaryota; Metazoa; Chordata; Chondrichthyes; Orectolobiformes; Stegostomatidae
Exons: 3
Source: RefSeq, a predicted model, not a curated record